GGGGGGGGGGGGGGGGGGGGGGGGGGGGGGGGGGGAUUCUCCAGCCCCUUCCCAUUUCCCUCAGCAAUUCUCCAGCCCCUUCCCAUUUCCCUCAGCAAUUCUCCAGCCCCUUCCCAUUUCCCUCAGCAAUUCUCCAGCCCCUUCCCAUUUCCCUCAGCAAUUCUCCAGCCCCUUCCCAUUUCCCUCAGCAAUUCUCCAGCCCCUUCCCAUUUCCCUCAGCAAUUCUCCAGCCCCUUCCCAUUUCCCUCAGCAAUUCUCCAGCCCCUUCCCAUUUCCCUCAGCAAUUCUCCAGCCCCUUCCCAUUUCCCUCAGCAAUUCUCCAGCCCCUUCCCAUUUCCCUCAGCAAUUCUCCAGCCCCUUCCCAUUUCCCUCAGCAAUUCUCCAGCCCCUUCCCAUUUCCCUCAGCAAUUCUCCAGCCCCUUCCCAUUUCCCUCAGCAAUUCUCCAGCCCCUUCCCAUUUCCCUCAGCAAUUCUCCAGCCCCUUCCCAUUUCCCUCAGCAAUUCUCCAGCCCCUUCCCAUUUCCCUCAGCAAUUCUCCAGCCCCUUCCCAUUUCCCUCAGCAAUUCUCCAGCCCCUUCCCAUUUCCCUCAGCAAUUCUCCAGCCCCUUCCCAUUUCCCUCAGCAAUUCUCCAGCCCCUUCCCAUUUCCCUCAGCAAUUCUCCAGCCCCUUCCCAUUUCCCUCAGCAAUUCUCCAGCCCCUUCCCAUUUCCCUCAGCAAUUCUCCAGCCCCUUCCCAUUUCCCUCAGCAAUUCUCCAGCCCCUUCCCAUUUCCCUCAGCAAUUCUCCAGCCCCUUCCCAUUUCCCUCAGCAAUUCUCCAGCCCCUUCCCAUUUCCCUCAGCAAUUCUCCAGCCCCUUCCCAUUUCCCUCAGCAAUUCUCCAGCCCCUUCCCAUUUCCCUCAGCAAUUCUCCAGCCCCUUCCCAUUUCCCUCAGCAAUUCUCCAGCCCCUUCCCAGCUCUCACCAGACCAGGUUUGCUCCCUUCAGCUCCUCUCUGGGCAGAGCUGGAGCUCCAAGCCCUGAUUAAAUCCUCCAGGAACUGGAAGGAAAUGCUGUUGUCCCCUUGCUCUGUGCCCAGAGCCCAGCUGGAGGGAUCCAGAGGGAAUCCUGGGUUACUCCUGGGCACGGAGCAGGGCCCGGCUCCCCCUGCCAAACACAAACAAACAGAACUAGCAAGAAGCACCAGGUGCUGCCAGGACAGUGCAGUGUCUCCUUAGGAACCCCUGGCAAGAGCCCCUGGUGCUGACUGAGCAGCAGUGCUGGAGCCUGUUGGUGCUGUAAAGGUGUUUAUUUUUUCUUUGAGCCCUUUUCACCGUGCUCCUGAUCACUGGAGACGCUGCAGGCACGGGCAGGGUGUCUGUUGAUGUGGCAG
RNAcentral lists this long non-coding RNA (1369 nucleotides) under Ficedula albicollis (Collared flycatcher). RNAcentral describes it as "lncRNA (ENSFALG00000028811.1)". Lineage: Eukaryota; Metazoa; Chordata; Aves; Passeriformes; Muscicapidae. The record is from RNAcentral.